UAGGGAAUCUUCCACAAUGGACGCAAGUCUGAUGGAGCAACGCCGCGUGAGUGAAGAAGGUUUUCGGAUCGUAAAGCUCUGUUGUUGGUGAAGAAGGAUAGAGGCAGUAACUGGUCUUUAUUUGACGGUAAUCAACCAGAAAGUCACGGCUAACUACGUGCCAGCAGCCGCGGUAAUACGUAGGUGGCAAGCGUUGUCCGGAUUUAUUGGGCGUAAAGCGAGCGCAGGCGGAAUGAUAAGUCUGAUGUGAAAGCCCACGGCUCAACCGUGGAACUGCAUCGGAAACUGUCAUUCUUGAGUGCAGGAGAGGAGAGUGGAAUUCCAUGUGUAGCGGUGGAAUGCGUAGAUAUAUGGAAGAACACCAGUGGCGAAGGCGGCUCUCUGGUCUGCAACUGACGCUGAGGCUCGAAAGCAUGGGUAGCGAACAGG
RNAcentral lists this ribosomal RNA (429 nucleotides) under bacterium. RNAcentral's name for it is "partial 16S ribosomal RNA". It matches the Rfam family "Bacterial small subunit ribosomal RNA", at positions 355 to 776 of the family's 1533-position model. The record is from RNAcentral.